RNAcentral lists this small RNA (756 nucleotides) under Pongo abelii (Sumatran orangutan). RNAcentral describes it as "processed transcript". The record is from RNAcentral. Lineage: Eukaryota; Metazoa; Chordata; Mammalia; Primates; Hominidae.
GUCUCCCUUCAGUCGAAAACUAGAUCUUUGGAGUUUCCUAGAUAUCCCUCGAAGUCGCCUAGUCAAAUACCCUUUACUGUUAAAAGAAAUUCUUAAACACACUCCAAAAGAGCACCCUGAUGUUCAGCUUCUGGAGGAUGCUAUAUUGAUAAUACAGGGAGUCCUCUCUGAUAUCAACUUGAAGAAAGGUGAAUCCGAGUGCCAGUAUUACAUCAACAAGCUGGAGUACCUGGAUGAAAAGCAGAGGGACCCCAGAAUCGAAGCUAGCAAAGUGCUGCUGUGCCAUGGGGAGCUGCGGAGCAAGAGUGGACAUAAACUUUACAUUUUCCUGUUUCAAGACAUCUUGGUUCUGACUCGGCCCGUCACACGGAACGAACGGCACUCUUACCAGGUUUACCGGCAGCCAAUCCCAGUCCAGGAGCUGGUCCUAGAAGACCUGCAGGAUGGAGAUGUGAGAAUGGGAGGCUCCUUUCGAGGAGCUUUCAGCAACUCAGAGAAAGGUAAAAUGUAGGCCUUAAAUAAUUUAAAGAAAUAGAAGCUCAGAACUGAAGUGAAUUUAGUUUUGCCUUUAAGAAUUCUAGAGAUGAAAUGGCUCCAUUGUCCUACACUUGUUACAUCCAUUGAGUUGCCCAGGCCUCCCAGCUCGAACACCCGCAGGUGUAUCUAAGAACUAAUGCAUAGGCUUAAUGUAUUCACAUUGACAUAAAUAAAUUGCCAUAAAUUGACAGUCAUGUGAAGAUUGUAUGACCACUUUGU